RNAcentral lists this long non-coding RNA (1275 nucleotides) under Nicotiana tabacum (common tobacco). RNAcentral describes it as "long non-coding RNA (NTAB_LNC005522)". The record is from RNAcentral. Lineage: Eukaryota; Viridiplantae; Streptophyta; Magnoliopsida; Solanales; Solanaceae.
CUUAUAACAUUUUACACAACCCUAACCCUACAAAAUUUUACCCAGCCGCACCACCCCUCUGCCACCGCUACAACACCUCCAAACCCACCGGAAAAUUCCUUCCACGUAAGCAAUGUUCCCCUCAUGGUCCCUCCUCAUCAUUAGGAUUUGAUUUUACGUGUUUUCUUCCUAUUUUUCAUCUUUGGAUUUACCUCUUUUAGGUGAAAAUAGGAAAAAGGGGUGCGUACGAUUGAGUUGCACUCGAUCUACUCCCUCCAUUUCUCUUGUGUCACCAAUAGAAGAGAUUUUCCGAUUUUUAUUUUGAGGAUUCUUGGAAAUUCGUCGAGGUUUUUCAUAUUUCUUGGGGAGAAAGUCUAGGGUUUUCGAAGCUGGCCUAUAUAUUGAGGCUUUUGAGGUCAGUCUUGUUUUGUUUUUUUUUUGGAUUCAGAGAGAGAGAUCGGAAAAAAGAUUCUAGGGUUCUUGGGCUAAUUUUCGACUUUGCUUUGUAUAAAUUUCAGGAAAAAAAAUCUAUAAAAGAGUUACUUUCUGUCUUCUUCAUCUUGGAAUUCCGAUUUUUGAGUUUUUUUAAAAAACAUGGGUUUCGCUUGAAGAUCCGAGGUUUGGUUUCGAGUUCGUCGCGGUUUGUUGAACGCAGUUCGGGUAUCCGGUCGCGUUUCGCUGCCUCUGUUUGGGAGUUCCAAUUGAAUAUUCUGUCAUGGACUCAUUCAUUGUACAACUUUGUUCAAUUUAGUUAUUAUAGCUGCUGAAAUUUCAUCAACUAGAAAGCAAUUUAAGGUCCAUCUCUCUUCUCUUAUCUCACUGAUUUUUGGUUGGGUCUGAAUAUGAUUUGAGCCUCAACUAGAAGGGAUUCGGGAAUGCGUAAUUUGUUUAGUUCCUAAUUGAGUAUUAAGAGAAAGUAGUUUGACCAAGAUUUGUGAAACUGAUUUUGAGGAAUCAUUCUUUUACACCGAAAUAUGUGUGAAUUCUUUAGUAUUUUUUUUGAGUUAUUCUAAUUAGAAUCUGUUGGAGUAUUUCAAGUUAGAUGUGAUGGGCUUCUCCAAUUAAACUACCACUUUUGCUAAUUAAGUGUGCUUGGCAGCCCAGUGCAACACUUUCAGUUUUUCUUGUGUCUCAAUAUUAACUCGAGAAAUUUAACAUCGUCGAGUAAUGAAAGUUUAAACUCCCUGAUAGUGCUAGAAUUUUAGAUUAGUUUUAAUAUAGAUAAAAUCGUAACGUGAAACUUGAAUUGCUAAAUGAAAUUUAAUUUCUUUAAUGUAAUAAAAAUGGAGAGGUUUU